UACGGAAGGUCCGGGCGUUAUCCGGAUUCAUUGGGUUUAAAGGGAGCGCAGGCGGGCUGUUAAGCCAGCCGUCAAAUGUCGCCGCUCAACGGCGUCAAGCGGUUGGAACUGGUGGUCUUGGGUGCACGAGAGGGAAGCGGAACUCGUGGUGUAGCGGUGAAAUGCAUAGAUAUCACGAAGAACUCCGAUUGCGAAGGCAGCUUCCUGGCGUGUUACCGACGCUCAUGCUCGAAGGCGCGGGUAUCAAACA
Molecule: ribosomal RNA, 250 nt
Filed under: uncultured prokaryote
Description: partial 16S ribosomal RNA
Rfam family: Bacterial small subunit ribosomal RNA
Source: RNAcentral